This 479-nucleotide ribosomal RNA is filed under the name uncultured bacterium. RNAcentral describes it as "partial 16S ribosomal RNA". It matches the Rfam family "Bacterial small subunit ribosomal RNA", at positions 28 to 507 of the family's 1533-position model. The record is from RNAcentral.
GAUGAACGCUGGCGGCAGGCCUAACACAUGCAAGUCGAGCGGAAGAGCUUCUUCGGAACCUUGAGAGCGGCGCACGGGUGCGUAACACGUGUGCAACCUACCUUUAUCUGGGGGAUAGCCAUUAGAAAGGAAGAUUAAUACCCCAUACUAUAAUGAUUGUCAUCCAUUAUUAUUGAAAACUACGGUCGAUAGUGAUGGGCACGCGCAAGAUUAGAGAGUUGGUGAGGUAACGGCUCACCAAGUCAAUGUUCUAUAGGGGUCCUGAGGGGGAGAUGCCCCAGACUGGGACCGAGACACGGACCAGACUGCUACGGGACGGAGCGGUAAGGAAGAUAGGAGUAGGGAGGAUAGCCUAAUCCAGCCAUCCCGCGUGAAGGAUGACGGUGCUAGGGAUUGUAAACUUCUUUUGUACAGGGAUAAACCUACCCUCGGGAGGGUAGCUGAAGGUACUGUACGAAUAAGCACCGGCUAACUCCGUG